RNAcentral lists this long non-coding RNA (4964 nucleotides) under Zea mays. RNAcentral's name for it is "long non-coding RNA (ZMAY_LNC001234)". Lineage: Eukaryota; Viridiplantae; Streptophyta; Magnoliopsida; Poales; Poaceae. The record is from RNAcentral.
GGGGCUAACCCGCAAGAUUUACGCAGACUCAGAAAUCCCUGAGUUGGACGGCGGGUUAAUACUAAUAAAACAGAGGGGCUCUUUUGUAAACUAGCUUCGGCGAAGGGGUACGGUUGUAUUCUGACCGUUCGAUCUAUUCCGGAUGGUCCAGAUUAAAUACGUGAAGGGGUACACAAAGUUCUAAUCCUGAACCUACAACUCCAAUCCAACGGACCCUAUCCAUCCUCAAUCCUGCCCGUGGAUCUAUCCAUCUACGGCCUGGGUUCAACCUCCGAAUGGGUAAGUUACCUUCUAAUCCUGGACAUCCGCAUUUGAUCCAACGGUUCUAAGCUUUCUUCCCCACCGAUCAACCGAAGCCGUUGAUCCCAAGAUCAACGCCCCAGUGUUGUCUUCUUCCCCGGUCACACGCACCGACUGAGGCGGCGCUCCCGCCGGAGUACCGCCGAGCAAGAGCCGCCCCACUAUUCCUUAAUCCCAUCGGUUCAACGAAAUUAUGUGAUCACCAUAGAGAGGGUUGAUGGCUUACCGAAGGCAAAGACGACCGCGGGGAUGCUAUCCACAGCAAGCGGCCGCAUCCAAGCAGUGGAGUACCCUGCCUCAUUGCCUUCCUAUGCGUGCGGACAACAUAAGCAUGAACAUCGGGGCGACGUUGGCGAGCGUGAACAUGGGCACCCCGGCGAGCCGCAGAAGAAGCGCACCCCCAGCCGUCCACCCGACUCCGCCACAUGGGCACCAUGUGCUGACCGCACUCUCUUUCUUCUUGCUCCCGCCAUUGCCCAUGGCGGCAUUCAUCCCCAAUCUCAUUCCGAUGCGCAAUUCCGGCUCCACCGUUCGACAAUCCCCCCGUUGCGGCUACGAGAUCCCUUCCCAGAAGUUCGGCGAACUGCCCUAUCGAGUGCUUGGCUUCUUCAACGGAGACGAAUUUGGAUGUGGUGACUUUCCUGCUCGGCUCCCUGUUGAUGGAGCAGGCGCAGGUGUUCGGAGCUCGGUCCUUAUAGUCGCGGGGUGAUUCCGAGUUGGCAAAUGACUGGUUGCCCGAGGACGCCGCCGAGAUUCGCGGCCGGCGGAGCAACGGACAGAGAAGAGGAUAAGUCCCAACGGCGAAGUAGCGGUGUCUGUUACGGAGUUCGCGCGGAAGAAGAAAUAUCCGGCCUGACCACUAGGGUCUGCAUGGCAGCGAUCCAUGAGUGAGGCCACACACGCAAGGAGACGCUGGACAGUGGGUCCCAGUCGUCAGCGUAAAGCAGGCAGCACCAAUUUGAGCUGCGCAGGUGGCCAGGGUUGGUGGGCCGGUGGUGAUUUUGGCCCACAGCGCAGGUUAGGUGAGUCUUUUCCAUUUUUUCUUCUUAUUUUCUUAUUUCAUCUCUAAAAUUAAAUUUUGGACCCAAAUUCAAAUGUGGUUUUUGGGUUUUCAUUUCAAAUUGAAUGCAAAAUCAGAAUCCAACAUGGAUGCAAAUAUACAUAUAGUUUUUUUGUAUUUAUUAUUCAUGCUUCAAAACAUAAUGAUUUUGUAAAGACUUAUCCCUUUCAAAUAGAAUUAUUUCAAACAUAUUUAAAUAUAGUCCCUAUUUAUUACUUGCUUGUUUAAGGAUAUAGCGAUUUACAUUUUUUUUAUUAAGAGUUCUUUUGAUCCUUAAUCUUUUUGAGAAAAAAAUAUAUAAAAAUCCCAAAAUAGGAUUUUAGGUGUUACAAACUCUACCCCCCUUAACAGAAAUCUCGUCCUCGAGAUUUGUAAUAAAAGAGACAUAAAAUAAUUGGUUUAUGCUUUUAGCCUUUAAUUUCUAAUUGGUUCAAAAAUUCAGAGUCUCACAUUUUUUAUAGUCAAUAGUGGACGAUUGGCAGAACAUAGGUAUCAUGCCACUUAUUAUGUAGGAUAUAAGAGAUGGAUAGGUUUGUGUAAGAAUAGCCAGGGGUAAGAAAGUUUAUAGUGAGGAAGAACUCCGUGUUGGGUGGUAAUGCAUCUGAAGUUUGAGUUUGACUUCUCUCCUUCCUUGACGAGGUUGAUCUUUUCUUCUCCAGUCUUGGUCUCAUUGAUUCAUGGUUAGUGUAUAUCAUCGGUUGGGGAAUAUGGUUAAGAUAGAUAUGGAUGAGAUAGACUACAUGAUGUAGGUCAAAGGUUCGUUUGAUGAUAGGUGGGGAUAGGCAGAUUAUGCAAUCCAUCAUAACUCUAUUGGUUGGGUUGGUCUAUCAAUCUUUAUUUAGUGUAGGGUGAACUAGGUUAAAACAUGUGGAUAGGGUCUAAUCUAUUUCACAAGUAUUAACUCACCUAUUUGAGUGAGUUACAUUAGGUUAGUUUAGAUUAGAUGGAAACUAUAUUAGUUUAGCGUAACUAGAUUUGACUAAAUAAGAUCUAAUUAAUUUGAUUUAGACCAUGUUUAUUACUCUAGGAUGAGAUAAGUAAAGUGGUUAGGAUAAGACGAAUCUUUUAAGAUAAAUUGAAUCUAUUAAGAUAAGCAAGAAUCUUGUAGGAUAAGAUAGAUUUAUUAAGCUAGAUAUAUUUUAAUUAGGAUAAGUUAGGAUCUUUUGAGAUGGGAUGGAUCUAUGAGUGUAGGAUAGAAUCUUUUAAGAUGAGAUGAAUAUUGUUAGGCUAGAUACUUUAAUGAGGGAUAAUCUAGUUCAUCUAGUUAUUUUAUAAAUAUUAUCCUUUAUGCCUAUAUGUAUAUGCAGAUGUAAUUGUGGACAUUACUCCACAACUCAUCACACUCAAUCAAAGAAUCAAAUCAGACAAUUGUCAUAAGAACAAACAGUCAAGUGCCUAGAUACCUAUAAAGAAAAUAUAGUUUCGUUUUUGUUCCUAUGAAUAGGUCUCCUAUUCCUAAAGGUCACUUUAGGUAUAGGAUUUCAAAGUGUGAAAUCCACAUUUGUCUUUAGAAGGAAAAGGUAAGAAUAAUCAGAGUAAAGCGGAAAUAGAUGAGAAAAGAUUAAGAAAAGUUUAGAAAGAAUCAGAGUGGCAAAGGUAAGUAGAGAAUGGUUGUCUAGUUCUAUCUAGGUUUCGUCCUACAGUCAAUAUUCCUCUGAUACCACUUCUGUCACACCCGGAUUUUAGGGGCACCAAGACCGGGCGCGAACAUAAUCACCAGGUGUGCUGGGACCAAGUCUCACACAUAUGACGAAUCAUGGCACAUGAUCGAAUGUCACAUCUUUACUAUAUAAUAGGAGUUCUAUACAAAAUAAAUAAAUAAAUACAUUAUAAGGAGACAGCGGUCCAGCAACCCAAAGUUGACUGGGAGACGACGACCUAGAUCUCUCACGAACACAUCGCAGCAUCCUCCAUGCGCCUCAUCCUGCGGUACCUGUUCUUGACCUAUGGGGGGUGUGAGACAGCAAGAGUGAGCUCACAUACGUUCAUCGCUCAACAAGUUGUGGGGAAUAAUGUGCAUGAACUCGCCAAAGGUGGGAGCUCAUGUGAAGUGUAAGGCUUACCAAAGAGGAUGGUUAGAGCUGAGCAUUGCUUUUAAAGUUGGUCAAAAUUUUAUUAGCAAUUACUAAGUAUAAGUAAAUACCAACCCAAUUAAGUAGUAGAACAAAAGUAACAACCUCACCUGCGAUGCAAUGCAUAUGACAAAUUGAAUUUAGGUUCCAUAAAUUAAUCAUGUGAGUGUCCGAGCUGCUCAUGACCAUGAGCACGGCUAGUAUACCAGUUUUACACUCUGCAUAGGUUGCACAUCUUUACCCACAAGUCAUGUUACCCAUCUGCCAAGAGACGGCCAAUCCCAUACACCUCUACCGAGGAGGCGAGGCAGGGUAACACUACGAGGCCUUUACAAAGUUCCACUAGCUUCAGAAAACCCGCUACAGUUUAUAGGAAGCUCCAAUGCAGGAAUCCCUCGCAUGACCGCCAUCGCAGCAAAAUCAUCCCAAGGGCCUCCCUACACUGACCACUCCCCUACUGCCCUUUCCCCUUUCGGGUAAGGUAGUCAUCCACUAGCUUUCCUAAUUAAUCAGCCAAGGGUGUCCAUAAACCCUUGUGGUAGCACUGUUUUCUCGGGUGGUUCUCCAUGUUCCAAUUAACAUAAUGAUCUUAACAUGAACAAUAAAUAACAACUAAUAACAAGAGUAUAAUCAUGAAUAGUGUAAUCUUCAUACCCAAAACCACAUAAAUCAAUAGCAGGUACUACCCAAAAAGUUUAGUGGUGUCAAGGUAUAUAGAUAAUCAAACUAGGGUAACCUGUUGGGUCCCAUCAAAAUUAACCUAUGCAGAUCAUUAUGAUUAAUCAGAAUAUGACUGGGUAAAAAGAAGUGAUCAAGGGCACAACUUGCCUGGCAAUUGAGAUUCCAGGUAUCAAUUUGCUCUUCAGAUGACACGUAACCUCGCGCUAGUCGUAGCAAUACAAACAAACAUGGUAUAGACAAAAUUAACAUCACACCAAACAUAAGAAUAAAUUGUGUAAUAUUAUUCUACGCUGCGUAACGAGAUCGUAGAAACAAGAACCACUAAAUUCGGAACUAUGGUUAUUAAGUUAUGAAUUUCCGAAAUUAUUUAGUGCUUAAAAUAGAUUAAUCCAAAUGAACAAUUUUAAUUCAUGUUUCAUGGCUAAACAGUGUUACUAGUUGAUAGACAAUAUUAAUACAAAAUUAUUGCAACUGGAAUGACUCAAUUUGGAGCUAAAAUGAAUUAACUAUGAAUUAUACAAGUUUAUAGAAUUAUUUUCAUACUAAAAACCUAUUUCUUUAUUAAUUUCUGAAUAUCCUAAGUGUUCUGGACUGGCUCAAUAUUUCUUAAAAGAUUAGGGGCUAACCCGCAAGAUUUACGCAGACUCAGAAAUCCCUGAGUUGGACGGCGGGUUAAUACUAAUAAAACAGAGGGGCUCUUUUGUAAACUAGCUUCGGCGAAGGGGUACGGUUGUAUUCUGACCGUUCGAUCUAUUCUGGAUGGUCCAGAUUAAAUACGUGAAGGGGUACACAAAGUUCUAAUCCUGAACCUACAACUCCAAUCCAACGGACCCUAUCCAUCCUCAAUCCUG